This 1375-nucleotide long non-coding RNA is filed under the name Macaca fascicularis (crab-eating macaque). Its description in RNAcentral is "lncRNA (ENSMFAG00000052829.1)". The record is from RNAcentral. Lineage: Eukaryota; Metazoa; Chordata; Mammalia; Primates; Cercopithecidae.
GUACCAUGUUGUUGACUUUCAGAAUAAAAAAUACGUUGUUUGCUAUGACUUUGUCCCAGGGCAUGUGCAUUAAGCUUCCACAUAUAAUUUAUAUCACUUAUUCCUUAAUAACAUUGUCAUGGGUUAGAUGGGACAUGUAUUUUUUUCAACUUUAUUUUUUACAUACAAUAAAGUGCAUCAAUUUUUAAGUGUACAGUUUUAUGACUUCCAGCUACAGUCACCACUGCUAUCAAGAUAUAAGGAUAUUUCUGUCACCCUAAAAAUUCCCUUAUCUCUUUCCCAGUCUGUCAUUCUUACAUUUAGCCCCAGGCAACCACUCAUCUGCUUCCUGUCAUUAUAGAGUUUUCUUAUUUAGAGUUUUAUAUAAAUGGAAUUACAUUUUACACACUGUCUUAUGUCUGGCUUGUUCACUCAGCAUAAUUAUUUUAAAUCUUAUCUACCUACCUGCAUACCUACCUAUCUACCUACCUAUUUUUUGAGAUAGGAUCUUGCUUGUCACCCAAGCUGGAGUGUAGUGGCAUGAUCAUAGCUCACUGUAACUUAGAACUCCUGGGCUCAAGCAAAUUCUCCCACCUCAGCCUCCUGAGUAGCUGGGACUGUAGGCAUGUGCCACCUUGCUAGGCUCAUUAAACAUUUUUUUUUCCUUUUUUUGGUAGAGACUGGGUCUUGCUGUGUUUCUCAGGCUGGGUUUGAACUCCGGGUGUUAAUUGAGGCCUCAGCCUCUCAAAGUACUGGGAUUAUAGGCAUGAGCCAGCACGCCUGGCCAGCGUAAUCAUUCUGAGGUACAUUCAUGUUGUUGGCAUGUAUCAGCAGGCUGGUCCUUUUUCUUGCUCUGUGGUGUUCCAGUGUUGCAUGUACUACAGUGUGUUUAGCCAUUCUGCCAUUCUGCCGGUGAUGGGCUUUUGGGUUGUUUCCAAUUUGGGGCUGCUGUAAGUAGAGCUGCGAUGAACAUUUAGGUACAAAUCUUUGUGCAGCUAUGUUUUCAUCUCUUCUGAGUAAAUAUCUAGGAGUAGAGUUUUUGCAUCUUAAGGAAUAUGUAUUUUUAACCCCCUUUUAUUGAUCAGGUGGAGCUUAGAGUGUUGGAGUUGACCAAGAUCUCACAGCCAGAAAGAUAUCAAGCAUGGAUCAACAUUUGAUAUUCCUUUUCUGUUUCCUCUUCAAGAUUCAUUCUAUUAGACCAGUGAUUUCACACUUUUAGAGCACCAAGACUCUUUUUAAAAUAAAAUAUUGUUAGUCCGAGUGUGAUGGCUCAUGCCUAUAGUCUUAGCACUUUGGGAGACUGAGGUAGGAGUAUUGCUUGAGCUCAGGACUUGGAUACCAGUCUGGACUACAAAUCAAGACCCCCCCCCACACUACCAAAAAAAAAAAAAAAAAA